GUGGGAAGGGGGUAGUUCAUUGGCAUCUUUGGAACUGAUUAAUUGAUUUAUGUCACUCACCUUGGACCCCUGUGAUCUCCUCUGGCCCUGUGCUUCUCCCCUGAUCUUCUGUGGCUGUAGCUCUCUAGGCAACCAGAUCUGCUCUGCAGGAGUGAUGGUGGGGAGUCCACCUGGGGAGUUCACACGUUUAACCUCUGAACCAGGAAAAGGGCCCAAAGGGGGUGACUCAUCCAGGAAAGCAGACCAAGGCCUUUGUCGAGUUGGGAUGCGUUCCCCAUGAUCGAGAAGGAGCUGUUCUGGACUGUGUUUGUUGGCGUGUUUUCUAGAUUCAGUCUUAGGCUGGUCCACAGACAUCUCAACUGACUGCAGCUCCCAGGGGUCCUGAGGAGGCGUCGUCCAUACUGGGUUUGAGAAACCUACUGAAGUCUGUGGUGGUAUCUUCCAGCUAAAGUCACUUUCAGGUGUAGGCUGUAAUUUACCCCCAAAGUCAGCAUUUAGUCCCUGCAUUCCCAAUGAAGGAAACAAGUCAUUAUUAGAGGAGAGCUGAGCUUGAGAUGUAAAGGAGUCUAUGUCAAGAAUGGUAGGCUUGUAAGGCUCCUUCCAGCGGGUUGCAGCAUCGCUGCGUUGAGAAGUAGACUUAGACAUUGGUUCAUUUCUGAGCACAGAGUCCAGAUCAAGAACUUUGGGUUUCAGAGGUGAUGGCUCCAACUUUAGCCUCUCUUGCUCCUCUUUUUUCUGCUUCUCUUUUAGUCGCUGUCUCUCUGCUUCUUGUUGCUUGGCUAUGACUCGCAUCCGUUCUGCCUCCUCCCUUUCCAUCUUUUCCCUCAGUCUGUGUUUCUCAAACUCCGCAAUUUGUUGUCUUUCCCUCUCUGCCUGCUUUUGCUUUUCGUACUCCAAGAGCUGUAAUCUCUCAAGCUCUUUAAGUCUCUCAACAUCCUCCUUCCUCUUCCUUUCCUUCUCCAGUUCCUGUUGUCUCAGCCUCUGGUUUUCUAAUUUCUGUCGCUCAAUGUCUAGUUGCCUCUGUUUUUCGAGCUCCUGAAUUUGUUGUCUCUCCCUCUCUGCCUGUUUUUGCUUUUCAAACUCCAGGAGCUGUAAUCUCUCCAGCUCUUUAAGUCUCUCAACAUCCUCCUUCCUCUUCCUUUCCUUCUCCAGUUCCUGUUGUCUCAGCCUCUGGUUUUCUAAUUCCUGUCGCUCAAUGUCUAGUUGCCUCUGUUUCUCAAGCUCCUGAAAUUGUUGUCUUUCCCUCUCUACCUGCUUUUGCUUUUCAAACUCCAGGAGCUGUAAUCUCUCAAGCUCUUUAAGUCUGUCUACAUCCUCCUUCCUCUUCCUUUCCUUCUCCAGUUCCUGUUGUCUCAGCCUCUGGUUUUCUAAUUUCUGUCGCUCAAUGUCUAGUUGCCUCUGUUUUUCGAGCUCCUGAAUUUGUUGUGUCUUACUCUCUGCCUGUUUUUGCUUUUCAAACUCCAAGAGCUGUAAUCUCUCAAGCUCUUUAAGUCUCUCUACAUCCUCCUUCCUCUUCCUUUCCUUCUCCAGUUCCUGUUGUCUCAGCCUCUGGUUUUCUAAUUUCUGUCGCUCAAUGUCUAGUUGCCUCUGUUUUUCGAGCUCCUGAAUUUGUUGUCUCUCCCUCUCUGCCUGUUUUUGCUUUUCAAACUCCAAGAGCUGUAAUCUCUCCAGCUCUUUAAGUCUCUCUACAUCCUCCUUCCUCUUCCUUUCCUUCUCCAGUUCCUGUUGCUCAAUGUCUAGCUGCCUCUGUCUCUCCCUUUCUAAAUCUUGUUGUCUCCGUUUCUCCAGCUCCCUCUGUAUCUCUUUCUGACGCUCCUUCUCCAUCUCCUUUUCUCUUUCCCGCUCUUUUUCAAGCUCUUUUACUCUUAACAUUUCUUGCUCUAAUGCGAUCUGUCUCAUCUUGUCUGCCUCUUCUUUUUCCUUUUUUUCUUUUAGCUGCUGGAUUUCCUUUUCUUUCUGCUUCUGUCUUUGAAGGUCUAAGAGCUGCAGUCUCUCUAACUGUUUUAGCCGCGCUUCCUCCUUUUGUUUUUGGUGUUGCUCUCUCUCCCUUUGUCUCUCUAGUUCUCGCCUUUUUUCUUUCUCAAGUUUCCUCUGCUUCUCUCUUUCAAGUCUCUGUUUCUCCUCCAAUUCUUGCACUUUCUCAAGCUCAGUCUGUUUCUGCCUUUCCAGGGCACGCUGUUUCUCCUCAAAUUCUUGUUUCUCCUUUUCAAAUGACUUCUGUCUUUGCCUUUCAAAUUCUCUUUGCAUCUCCCUCUCCUUCAUUCGUGUAAAUUCUAAAUGUGCUAGUUUCUCCAUUUCCAGCUGUGUCUGUUUUUCCCUUUCAAUUUCUUUUAUCUUAGUCCUGUGCCUUUCUUUCUCCUUCCUUUGCUCCCUUUUCUUUUCAGCUUCUAGCCUUUCCUCUUUACUCUGUCCAUCUAAGGCUAAACUGCUCUCCCUGGGUGACUUGUGGCUUCUUAUCAUCAAAUCUUCAACUUGCUCUUGCGAUGGAGUUGUUUUUCCAAAAGGAUCAUCAUUUAAAGACUGGCUCCCCCUUACUGGAAGACUCUUCCCUUGAGGGCCACUCAGGAGAGAAAUCCCUAAGAAAUCAUCAGAGGGGCUAGUCAUGUCCCCAGUGUUUGUCCCUGCACCCCCGAGAGAAACUGGCUCCUGUAUUUGUCCGGUUAAAGCAAAGUAGGUUGCCUUGGGUUUUGCCAUUUCGUCUGCCUGCAGCAUCUUCAAGCGUUUAGGUGCUGCCGCCACUUCUUCUUGUUCUGCCACUCUUUGUCUCUCCUUGUCUUUAUCUAAAGUCACUUGUCCCUCCCUUUGUGAUUCCUUUAGCAUCCCCGUUUCCAUAUCUACGUCUUGGUCGAGACCUGAAGUUGUCCACUUCUGUAAGGCUCCUAUCCUCAGAUAUCGUGGCUGUGUUUGAGGCAUCAAAGGUGCCAAAGGUGGCUGUUCUUGUGCAGGACUGGUCCAUUCUGGUAGAGGCCUGCUCCCUUCUGAGCGUCUGGAACGGAGGGUCAUGGCCUUAUCCUCCCACUGAGCUGAUGGGACGCUCUCACUCACUGCCCGACUCUCUUCGACAGCCUGCACUGUGUCAAAGGCAUGUAAUACGGGCUGAAGACAUGAUGGCGAUAAAGGCUGGCUGUAGUUAGCUGUGACUGGAGCCCCGUUAUUUUCAGUAACUGUUCUAUCAAAUGGAGACGUGCUGCUGAGCAAAUCCUUGGCCGUGUCAACAGAUGAGCCAUCAUCCAUCAACACCACGCUGUGCCUCUCCACGACAUUAUCAAACAAGGAUGCUCGCACCGUUUGGACUCCACUGCCUGCACCAAUUUCCUUGGAAACAGCACCAAACGUCUGUCCUGCUUCAGGCCCUUCAGGCGUGGAGACCUUUUUGAGCUGCUCUUGGGAAUCUUUUAAAUCCAAAAAUGUCUUCUGGUCACUGGGAGUGAUAGCCGACUCUUCAGCC
Oreochromis aureus is the source of this 3448-nucleotide long non-coding RNA. The record is from Ensembl. Lineage: Eukaryota; Metazoa; Chordata; Actinopteri; Cichliformes; Cichlidae.